RNAcentral lists this small nuclear RNA (105 nucleotides) under Solanum tuberosum (potato). Lineage: Eukaryota; Viridiplantae; Streptophyta; Magnoliopsida; Solanales; Solanaceae. The record is from RNAcentral.
UCAUCCUUUUGGAAACAUAUGACAAAAUUGAACGAUACAGAAAAAAUUAACUAUGGUCUCUACAUAACGAUAACAUAUACAAAUCGAGAAAUGAUCCAAAUUUUU